This 93-nucleotide transfer RNA is filed under the name Streptomyces lavendulae subsp. lavendulae. RNAcentral's name for it is "tRNA-Arg". The record is from RNAcentral. Lineage: Bacteria; Bacillati; Actinomycetota; Actinomycetes; Kitasatosporales; Streptomycetaceae.
CGGCGCCGGAGGCGCAGAGGCGGACGCGGCGUUCGGAGCCGUUGCCGCGGGCAGGCCGGGCGGCGGCGGCGGUUCGGCUGCCGCCGGUACGGG